This 505-nucleotide long non-coding RNA is filed under the name Mus musculus (house mouse). RNAcentral describes it as "long non-coding RNA chr17:47327114-47327619". The record is from RNAcentral. Lineage: Eukaryota; Metazoa; Chordata; Mammalia; Rodentia; Muridae.
UAGGAAAGGUAGGAAUGGGGGCUUUGUGGAUGCAUUAACCCAAUGCAUAGGUCCAGACAGGAAGGCCUCCAGCAAAGAAAGCCCCACUUAGACCCCUGCUGGCAUCUCUGUAACUAAAUUAUAAUGAGGGGUACGUGUGUUCUAGGAAAUGAGAAUUUCACUCCAUUCACCAUGACGGAGGUGGAAGAAAAGCUUGAAUUAAACGAGAACUAGCCUCCAGGUCCUUCCCGCUGUGGAAAUCAGACAAACCUGGAUGCCUCCAGACCUCUUUUCUCUGUCAUUAGCGGUUCUGUUUUCCUACCUUUAACAUAGUUCUGAACAUUGGGGACCUUCAUUAGGGAUACUCGAUGUCCCUAAACUAGAACCAUGGGGCCAUCUUCCCAGAGUCAACGCUGACCAUUUGUCUGGUCAGCCUUCACCAGCCUCAGUUUCCCUUCUAUAUAGAAGGGCAUGGUUCUUCUAGUACUGAAAUCAGGUUCCUGCUUUUAGAUUUUUACAGAAAUGC